Molecule: long non-coding RNA, 950 nt
Filed under: Marmota monax (woodchuck)
Lineage: Eukaryota; Metazoa; Chordata; Mammalia; Rodentia; Sciuridae
Source: RNAcentral
GGUGCCGGCAAGAGAGUAGUUCAUGUAGUUCAUUGACAGUCAGAUCCAGUCUGGGAAGGGAAGGGAUUGAAGUCAGAAAAGAACUGACAACAGGAAAGGGAGGCCAGAGGACUGGGUGAUGUCAAGGAGCAUAUUUUAUGGGGACAAGCAGAUUUAAUGGCACUAUAUGAGGGAGAACGCUGGAAACGAAAGCUAAGGCUUUGGAAGUGAAAUGGCUCCAGGUGAUGAUAAAGUCUAGGAUGUGGCCCAGGAGUGGACAGCUGAGAGUAACUAAAGGUAAUAGGGGACCAUGUUGAGCAGGCCAGGUAGUCCAUGGGCCAUCCACAAGAGGGAGGGGAAAGGCUCCCUGUGGGUCUGAGAGUCAGGCUACUUUCCCUGUACCAACCUCCUGAAUCUUCUGCCAUCUGCACUCUACUCACUCUCCCCCACAGUCCUGAGCAAUUUCAAUCACUCUGCUGACAGUAGCUAAGGUCCAUUUGCCAAUGACUUCUGAAUCCCCACAGCUCCAGAGCUUCAACUGGCUUCGCCUUAGCUGGUAGUGCCUCAGACCAGCUCAGUCAAGAAAGGCAAGAACUGAGCUCCUCGCCUCUUCUGCCCCAAUCCUGUGUCCACUGUGUUAAAGGACCACACAAUUUCUAACCCCCAUCCCCAAAGCCAGAGUCAGGGCAUCGUUUGUAGAUUCUUGCUUUUCCUUAUUCCUUAGACCCUAGUGAUCCCAUUACUUAAGCCUCUUUCACAUUUGUACUUAAUUUCCAUUCCAUAUCCAUUGUCCAUAGCCAGACUCAAUGAGAGGGUCUCACCUUCUAGCGAGCACCUUGGAAAUUGUAGGGACAUUUGUUGCCUUGUCUGAUAAUUGCCUAUGAGGAAUAAAAUUACUUCUGGGUCUCUUGGAGAUAUUCAGAUGAUCCUUCUCACUUAUUGAAGCAAAAUGUAGCUCAUUUUAACUAAGC